CGGAGGGUGCCAGCGUUACUCGGAAUCACUGGGCGUAAAGGACGCGUAGGCUGUUUAGCAAGUCAGAUGUGAAAUCCAACGGCUCGACCAUUGAACUGCAUUUGAAACUGCUAGACUAGAGUAUGGGAGGGGGAGAUGGAAUUAGUGGUGUAGGGGUAAAAUCCGUAGAUAUCACUAGGAAUACCUAAAGCGAAGGCGAUCUCCUGGAACAUUACUGACGCUAAGGCGUGAAAGCGUGGGGAGCAAACAGGAUUAGAUACCCUGGUAGUCCACGCCCUAAACGAUGAACACUAGUCGUCGCGAUGCUUGUCAUUGCGGUGAUGCACUUAACAGAUUAAGUGUUCCGCCUGGGGAGUACGGUCGCAAGAUUAAAACUCAAAGGAAAUAGACGGGGACCCGCACAAGUGGUGGAGCAUGUGGUUUAAUUCCAAGAUACGCCAAAAACCUUACCUAGCCCUUGACAUUGAUAGAAUACUGUAGAAAUACCGUAAUGCCCCUUCCGGGACUUGAAAACAGGUGCUGCACGGCUGUCCUCA
This 536-nucleotide ribosomal RNA is filed under the name uncultured eubacterium SRangD. Its description in RNAcentral is "SSU rRNA". It matches the Rfam family "Bacterial small subunit ribosomal RNA", at positions 526 to 1057 of the family's 1533-position model. The record is from RNAcentral.